This 138-nucleotide non-coding RNA is filed under the name Protocruzia adhaerens. Lineage: Eukaryota; Ciliophora; Spirotrichea. The record is from RNAcentral.
UUUGUAGAUAUUCUUGCCCAAAACCAAAAACAAAAAAAGAAAACAAAGAGAAAAGGCGUUCUCGAGUUUUCUCUCCUGAGUUCUAGAUUCUCUUUGUUUCUUGUUUUUUCUCACUUCUCUCACCCUAAUAGCAAGUUU